RNAcentral lists this ribosomal RNA (301 nucleotides) under uncultured archaeon. RNAcentral's name for it is "partial 16S ribosomal RNA". It matches the Rfam family "Archaeal small subunit ribosomal RNA", at positions 477 to 746 of the family's 1478-position model. The record is from RNAcentral.
CUGCAGCCCGAGUGGUGAUCGAUUUUAUUGAGCCUAAAGCGUCCGUAGCCGGACUAGUAAACCCUUGGGUAAAUUGGGCAGCUUAACUGUCCGAAUUACGAGGGGACUGCUAGUCUUGGGACCGGGAGAGGUCAGAGGUACUCCAGGGGUAGGGGCUAAAUCCGAUAUGGUUUUGUGCCAGUCGGUUAGCAUUCCUGUAAUCCUUGGGGGACCACCAGUGGCGAAGGCGUCUGACUAGAACGGAUCCGACGGUAAGGGACGAAACCCUGGGGCGCGAACCGGAUUAGAUGCCCGAGUAGUC